CGUAUAUUUGAUAUAUUAUUUUUCAAUAUUACACAGUUAAUAGGCAUUUAUUUUGAAAAGUAACUAAAUCUUUAAUUAAUAGUUUUUCGUUUAAUUAAUUAAGUAAGUGAAAAAGGUAAUUACUUCAGUAGCAGUCCUUUUAAAAACUUUUUACCCUCCCCCUCCUUCAGUCAUGUGAGGAGGGGGAGGGGUGCAAGGUGCGCAUCUGUUGGACGCGGUGGUAUCUGGUGAACGAACAACGGUUAUUGCGUACAACGGACCUCGAUGCUGCUUCUUCAGCACCGGAUGGUGCCGUGCGCGUUGAAUGUUCUCCAUUCAGAGACUUUGAACUUAGUGCAUUACGCGCAAUCUGAAAAGGCUGGCUGAAGGCUACUCCUCCCCCUCCUUUAAGAUGAAUUAAGGAGGGGGAGGGAGUAUAUAACUGAGCAGCUGUAGAGCUCGAUGGAGAACGCGCCACAAGUACCUAACAAAUGCCUACUUGUGACAUUUUAGAAGGUCCUCGGUGCUUGAUUCUUCAGCUCCUGACGGGCGGUUCUGUGCGCGUUGGAAGUUUCACUUGAAGCUUCAGAGACUUUUAAACUAGUAUAAUACGCGCCAUCUAAAGAGACUGGUCUGAAGUUAGCCUCUCUACUAUAUAACCUUUAAAAUAUAAUAAUCAACUAAUUUCUGACCGGCCGACUUAGAUCGCCCGUAUUGUAAUUAAGAUAAAUUUAAUGUUGCUUUGUUAAAUAUGUUCAUGUAUCUAACAAAACAACCGGUUAUUACUACUGUAAGUUACUAUUAUAUAUAGUUCAGGGCGGGGACGUAUUCACUUGACGAUUCCCAGACCUUGACUCUAGUAUUAUACGUACAAGUUAUCAAGAAAUGUUUGAAAUCGACACAUUUAAGCCACUAAACAUCAAACAUAGAUAUUGUAAUUAAGGUUAACUUAAUGUUAGUUGGCCCCAAGCUAUUACUGCAUGUUACUAAUGUAUGCGGUAUUACUAAGGAUUUCCCUGCGCGUAGUAAUGUAAGCAAUAGCGAAGGUAUGCCCUCGAUUUCUUCGCUACUAUUAAAUGCAACGUAUGUUGCAAUUAAACCAUUAAAUAUUGUAAGGUUCAUUUAAUGUUGGUUUGUUAAAUAUAGCCAAAUAUUUAACAAAACAACCACCAUUAACUCUCGCCGUAAGUUACUAACUAACCUAGUAUUGUAAUCGGUAGGUAUGGUAUGCCCUUCGGUAGUUAAUUUAAGGACAAAAAAAAU
Vanessa atalanta (red admiral) is the source of this 1242-nucleotide long non-coding RNA. RefSeq lists it as uncharacterized. The record is from RefSeq and is a predicted model, not a curated record. NCBI's taxonomy places the organism in Eukaryota, Metazoa, Arthropoda, Insecta, Lepidoptera, Nymphalidae. The transcript is spliced from 5 exons.